This 113-nucleotide transfer RNA is filed under the name Stenotrophomonas maltophilia. RNAcentral describes it as "tRNA-OTHER". It matches the Rfam family "tRNA". Rfam says of the family: Transfer RNA (tRNA) molecules are approximately 80 nucleotides in length. Their secondary structure includes four short double-helical elements and three loops (D, anti-codon, and T loops). Further hydrogen bonds mediate the characteristic L-shaped molecular structure. tRNAs have two regions of fundamental functional importance: the anti-codon, which is responsible for specific mRNA codon recognition, and the 3' end, to which the tRNAs corresponding amino acid is attached (by aminoacyl-tRNA synthetases). tRNAs cope with the degeneracy of the genetic code in two manners: having more than one tRNA (with a specific anti-codon) for a particular amino acid; and 'wobble' base-pairing, i.e. permitting non-standard base-pairing at the 3rd anti-codon position. Lineage: Bacteria; Pseudomonadati; Pseudomonadota; Gammaproteobacteria; Lysobacterales; Lysobacteraceae. The record is from RNAcentral. RNAcentral also lists the same sequence under 1 other name.
GCACCAGUGGUGGAAUUGGCAUACACGCAUCUUUGCCUUGGCUUCUUCAUCAGAGGGAUCCAAGGAAAGAUGUCUCUUCGGAGAUACGAGUUCGAAUCUCGUCUGGUGCACCA